Molecule: ribosomal RNA, 491 nt
Filed under: uncultured bacterium
Lineage: Bacteria
Description: partial 16S ribosomal RNA
Rfam family: Bacterial small subunit ribosomal RNA
Source: RNAcentral
AGUGAACGCUGGCGGUAGGCCUAACACAUGCAAGUCGAACGGCAGCACAGUAAGAGCUUGCUCUUACGGGUGGCGAGUGGCGGACGGGUGAGGAAUACAUCGGAAUCUACUUUUUCGUGGGGGAUAACGUAGGGAAACUUACGCUAAUACCGCAUACGACCUACGGGUGAAAGCAGGGGAUCUUCGGACCUUGCGCGAUUGAAUGAGCCGAUGUCGGAUUAGCUAGUUGGCGGGGUAAAGGCCCACCAAGGCGACGAUCCGUAGCUGGUCUGAGAGGAUGAUCAGCCACACUGGAACUGAGACACGGUCCAGAAUCCUACGGGAGGCAGCAGUGGGGAAUAUUGGACAAUGGGCGCAAGCCUGAUCCAGCCAUACCGCGUGGGUGAAGAAGGCCUUCGGGUUGUAAAGCCCUUUUGUUGGGAAAGAAAAGCAGCAGGUUAAUACCCCGCUGUUCUGACGGGACCCAAAGAAUAAGCACCAGCUAACUUCGU